GACUGUGGGUGAGUGUAGGUGUACAUGUGCAAGUUUAAGAGAGAGAAAGAGAGUGAGAGAGAGUGUAACUGAUGGGAACCUGGAAAUGUUAAAGACAUGCAUUGCAGGAAUAGACGGAGACGGAAAAGAAGGUUCCAGAAAAACAGGGGUUCCUGGGAUGAAGAAGAACUUAAGUCGGAAAAAAGCCCAGCAAAGAUGAUAGGAAAAAGAAAAUGUAGAGCACAAUAGAUGGGUUA
Molecule: long non-coding RNA, 236 nt
Organism: Octopus sinensis (East Asian common octopus)
Lineage: Eukaryota; Metazoa; Mollusca; Cephalopoda; Octopoda; Octopodidae
Exons: 2
Source: RefSeq, a predicted model, not a curated record